This 446-nucleotide long non-coding RNA is filed under the name Ananas comosus (pineapple). Its description in RNAcentral is "long non-coding RNA (ACOM_LNC021644)". The record is from RNAcentral. Lineage: Eukaryota; Viridiplantae; Streptophyta; Magnoliopsida; Poales; Bromeliaceae.
GAAAUAAGAUGUAAAUUGAAAGGAUCCCUGAUGAAAGGCAUGACAUUCUCGUUUUCUCCAUUAUUACUCUAUUAAAUGAAAAAAUGAGGAGAUUACUCUAUUAAAUAGAAAGAUAAAUACUAUUACUCUAUUAAAUGGGAAGGUGAAAAGAUUAUUUGAUUAAAUGGAAUGGUAAAUGGAAGAUGAAAGGAUUAGUCUAUUAAAUGAGAAGAUAAAUGGGAAGGUGAAGAUACGACAUUGUGAGAUAAAUUGGAUACAUGAGAGGAAGUAUCUGGUAGAGGCGAACUUAAUAUUCAAUAGAAAGGAUGGAGGAGGUGAUAAUAAUACUGGUAGCUAAGUGGGCCCAAAUUCAAUAGAAUUCUACCACGUCGGAUAGAAAACACGGAAAUUAAUAAUUUUGUAUAGAUUAUCAUCAUCAAUGCUAACUAUAUAUUCUUUAUCUAUAA